UGAAACCUGAUGGAGGCUGAUGCUCA
Molecule: non-coding RNA, 26 nt
Filed under: Rattus norvegicus (Norway rat)
Lineage: Eukaryota; Metazoa; Chordata; Mammalia; Rodentia; Muridae
Source: RNAcentral